GAUCCUGGCUCAGAUUGAACGCUGGCGGCAGGCUUAACACAUGCAGGUCGAGCGGUAACAUAAAGAAGCUUGCUUUUUUGAUGACGAGUGGCGGACGGGUGAGUAAUGCUUGGGAAUCUAGCUUAUGGAGGGGGAUAACUACGGGAAACUGUAGCUAAUACCGCGUAAUAUCGAAAGAUUAAAGUGUGGGACCUUCGGGCCACAUGCCAUAGGAUGAGCCCAAGUGGGAUUAGGUAGUUGGUGAAGG
This 247-nucleotide ribosomal RNA is filed under the name uncultured bacterium. RNAcentral describes it as "partial 16S ribosomal RNA". It matches the Rfam family "Bacterial small subunit ribosomal RNA", at positions 15 to 258 of the family's 1533-position model. The record is from RNAcentral.